GUUACAAUGAUGCGGCUAUAGAAAAGUUUUCUGGUGGCCUUAAAUCCAAAGCUUUGCGAAUCUUUCCAUUGAAAUUUGUUGGUGCACCGUGUUUACGAAUUGAAAUUUGUGGUGGAGACUUACUCCCAGACAAACCAACAGAUCUCAUUGCAACCAAAUCUGCAUCGACGUACCUCGAGAUAUCAUGGAAACAUCC
Xenia sp. Carnegie-2017 is the source of this 196-nucleotide long non-coding RNA. RefSeq lists it as uncharacterized. Lineage: Eukaryota; Metazoa; Cnidaria; Anthozoa; Malacalcyonacea; Xeniidae. The transcript has 2 exons. The record is from RefSeq and is a predicted model, not a curated record.